GGGGCAGCAACCCAACAACCAGUUGUCCAAUUCAUCUGAAAAUUUCAGGGCAGAUAGAUAUUUACUAGAUAAACAAGUUAACCCCUUGUUAGAUUUGCUUUAAAUGCUUUGGUUUCAGAGUUAUAAGCCAAAAUCUACAUUUUACCCCUACUUUCUAUUUUUAGCCAUGGCGGCAUUCUUUGUUGGUUGGCUGUGUCACCGCACACAGUUUUUAAACUAGAUACCCUAAUUAUGAUUUUGGCUAAGUUUCGUUAAAUUUGGUCCAGUAGUUUCAGAGGAGAAGAUUUUUGUAAAAGAUAACAAAAAUUUAUGAAAAAUUGGUAAAAAAUUACUAUUAAGGGCAAUAACUCCUAAAGGGGUCAACUGAUC
Molecule: long non-coding RNA, 369 nt
Filed under: Mytilus galloprovincialis (Mediterranean mussel)
Lineage: Eukaryota; Metazoa; Mollusca; Bivalvia; Mytilida; Mytilidae
Source: RNAcentral